Molecule: ribosomal RNA, 492 nt
Filed under: Pasteurellaceae bacterium 34
Lineage: Bacteria; Pseudomonadati; Pseudomonadota; Gammaproteobacteria; Pasteurellales; Pasteurellaceae
Description: bacterial SSU rRNA
Rfam family: Bacterial small subunit ribosomal RNA
Source: RNAcentral
AUUGAACGCUGGCGGCAGGCUUAACACAUGCAAGUCGGACGGUAACAGAUUAAAAGCUUGCUUUUAAUGCUGACGAGUGGCGGACGGGUGAGUAAGGCUUGGGAAUUUGGCUAAUGGAGGGGGAUAACUACGGGAAACUGUAGCUAAUACCGCGUAGGAUCGAGAGAUGAAAGGAGUGGGACCGAAGGGCCACUUGCCAUUGGAUAAGCCCAAGUGAGAUUAGGUAGUUGGUGGGGUAAAGGCCUACCAAGCCGACGAUCUCUAGCUGGUCUGAGAGGAUGGCCAGCCACACUGGGACUGAGACACGGCCCAGACUCCUACGGGAGGCAGCAGUGGGGAAUAUUGCGCAAUGGAGGGAACUCUGACGCAGCCAUGCCGCGUGAAUGAAGAAGGCCUUCGGGUUGUAAAGUUCUUUCGGUGGUGAGGAAGGCGGAUAAGUGAAUAGCUUAUCUGAUUGACGUUAGCCACAGAAGAAGCACCGGCUAACUCCGU